Molecule: long non-coding RNA, 2173 nt
Organism: Cyprinus carpio carpio
Lineage: Eukaryota; Metazoa; Chordata; Actinopteri; Cypriniformes; Cyprinidae
Source: Ensembl
UACACAGAUAUAACUCAUGAGAAUAUAGAUGGAUAGAGUCAGGAGAGCGGGAGUGUGUCUGCUUAACAUAGCACUGUAGCUUCUUUUAGUGAAGUACGGCAAGCAAAAUGGGCCAAAAUGUAUCUCAAGGUGACUGUAAGAUAUAUGGCUGCUUGUGUCCAGGAGAGGGAAGUCUAACACCAUUUCCACAUGACGUACCACAGCAUGAGUGUGUUCCGGGCAUAUCAGGAUGCCGACAUGCCAAACGUUGAAUUUAAAAUCAUUUACAUAAAGAAUGUCAAGAGAUGAAAUUAUUGUGAAAGCAAUCAGGAGUGAAUAGAAUGUGUGAGAGUAAAGCGCACACAAAAUUUUGUCUGUCGCUGAUUAGAGCCUAUCAAAGUGGGCCGUCAGAGGUCUCCUCCGCCGCAGUCCCCCCUUUUCUCUCAUCUCCACUUUACAUCUCCUCAAUUCCUUUGCCUUCUGUCAUUCUUGUUCCUCCUUCUCUCUGUUUUCUUCCUCGCCUCCCUCUGUUGUGGCCGCGGCGCUAGCCAGGCGGUAUCGAAUGUAAGCCAAGCACAUCAUAUUUUCAUGUGUUCAUGCCUCUUUUAUCCUCUGCCCUCCCUUUCUCAAUAUUCUCAGUCUCUCUCUCUCUCUCUCUCUCUCUCCCUCUCUCCCUGUGCUGCUCCCUCCCUCUCUCCCUAUUCUUUCUCUAGUUCCCUCCCUCCUGCUCCAAUCUUCAGUUCAGCUAGAGAAAUAGAGGGAGUGAGUGAGGGAAAGAAAGAAAGAAAAAGAAAGAAAGAGUGAGUGAGUGAGUGGAAUAAUGGUGAGCGACGAGGGGAAUUUCAGAGCUUGGAAACUUUUUUCUUCCACCGAAACAGAGAAAAGAUCACAGGUAAGGAGAUUUCGGAGAUGAAAAUCUCUUCUUUUUCACCGUCUACCCAUCUCUCUGUUCUUUUUAUUUCUCUCCCUCUCUUCUUUCUCUCAGGGGGUAGCGGGCCUCUUCCACUAACUGGUGUCAGCUGUUGCAGGAAAUGAAGGGAUCACUUCUAUCCCAGUCUUUCUCUCCCUCUCUCUCUAUCUCUCUCUCUCUCAAUCUCUCUCUAUCUCUCUUCGAGCCAGACUUUUCAUGAGAUUCGUAUCCCUCUAAACACGGCAGAGAGAGAAGGGCCUGCUCAGACAGAGAGAUGAAUGGAACUAAGGAACAGCCGUUUCACAGCUAUUUAUUUUCGCCGCUUUUUGACUCUGUAGAUCAGAUGUUCCGCCUGUUUUUUUCCACCUCGGGAUGGAAUACGCACCCGUCGCACAUGUGACAAGGUGAGAGACGGUGCAUGCGUGUGCGCGAAUGCCCCCACCCCCUAUUGCUGAUCUCUCAUCUUAUAGCCCUCUGGGUAGAAGUCUGGUGUCGUGGCCCUGCCUCUCUCGCGCUCUAUUUCUCUCUCUUUUUUUUUCUCUCUCUCGUCUCCCAUUCAGUUUUCUGUCCUAUAGGCUGAUUAAUCCGGAUACCUUUUCUCCCCAGAUUCUUUGUUUCCUUUGUUCGCAUUUUCCUUUUUCAGCAGUGCUCUGCAGCCGUUUGAAUUUCCCUCUCUCUCAAGUUCCACCUCUCUCUCUCUCUCUCUCUCUCUCUCUCUCUCUCUCUACUCUGCGGUUCUCGGCUCCAGACGGCGGGCAGACAUCAGCCUGUCAGCGUCCUAUAUAGUGCAUGCGGAGGACCUCAGCACCCGAGGCACGGUCAGUCACUGCCGCCAGCUCGCUUCAGCGAGGGCAUGCUGGCACCCCUCCUCUCCUCUGCAGUGUGCCACAGUGCUGGAUGAAGACUAUUGUUCUGGUGCCCUCGUCUUCCUCUGGCACCACACCUCACCCACCACACCAGCCCACUUCGUCAAACAAAUGGCUUUCAGCCUACUUUCCUAUAACAGAAAACAGAGCAGAUUGGAGUCAGCAUUCACAGUCAGAGGCAGGCGCAAGCACCAGAUAAACGCCCCCUUUAAGUGUGUGUAUACUGUAUGUACAUGUGAGUGCACCUUAACUAUGCUUUGUGUUUCUCUGUUUAUCUUUCUGUCAUUUUUCACAAUGCACUGAAUAAGAUGGCCUAGAUGGGACUCCUUUAGUAUUCUUGGUAUUUAAAUGAAUAAUCAUUAUUAAUGAAAGACAAGCAUUACAUUGCUGUGCAAAUGUGCAGAUUACAUAUGGGCCU